RNAcentral lists this long non-coding RNA (524 nucleotides) under Homo sapiens (human). RNAcentral's name for it is "non-protein coding lnc-ATP6V0E2-2:6". The record is from RNAcentral. Lineage: Eukaryota; Metazoa; Chordata; Mammalia; Primates; Hominidae.
CUAAGAAUUCUCUCACCUGCCUUCUGCCCUUAAGCUCCGGUAGAUUGCAAAUAACCUGCUUUCUUUCUGUUCCCGAGCUGCGUUCGGACCCGUCGGAUCGUAAAUCCCACGUAAGGUCGGAAGAUUUGAACUUUCUACUUGGACACCUAACACCCACAGUCCUCCAGACAGAAAGACAACAGGUACAAAGCCCUAAGGAUUAUAAAGGUAUGCUGCUUACCAUCAUCUUAGUGACCAAGGCAGCGAAGCUGUUUCUGUACCUUGGAACAGUCUUCCCUGACAAGCCAGAGAACAGUGAUAAAGCCACCAGCCUUGGGAUCAGGACUGAAAAGGCAAGAGUGAUGGAGAUUUCUCCUGCGCUAAGCCAAGAGAAGGUUUCAGCACUUCAGACAGCUCCCACCGAAGUAGCCGCGCUCCCAGCUGCUUGCAGAUGUUGAAAAGGAAAGCCUCGGUUUGUCUUGAGGUUGUCAGCAGGUGCAAGACACGUAAUAAAAUGCAAUGUGUUCCUAAUUCAUUGCAUAUCC